CUAUCAGACAUCUGUUUGUUCCCUAAAACUAAGGAAUCUUUAUGUCCCUAGGCAGACCCCAGUAUGAUCACCCCAUGCCUGAGUGACUAACUCUGUUUUAAAAAGUAUAAAAUCCCCAGAACUGAUGUCAUCUGGGGGAACAGCCUUUCCUUUCAUGCUGUCCUCCCAGGGAACUGCUCCCCAUCUUGCUGUUCCACCUUGCUAUCCUCCUGGCCACUCUCAACAUUACUUUCUAAAUUAAUGAAUCUCCUUUUUGUUUUUAAGCUAAGUUUUGGAGUCUUGCAUGCUUGCAAAAGGCAUCCUUCCCAAACCCCAAGGUAUCCUUCCUACCCAUAACACUACUACUGCAAGAUUGAGAUUUCUGAGAUCCAACAACAAGAACCCGACAGGACAUGGCCCACCAGCUGCCAUUCAGCAAAGAGUAUCCAUGCCCUCCCCUCCUGUUCGUCCUGCACUCCAAUUUCCUCUCAGAGAAGAAGCCUCUUGAGGCUGAUAAGCAAACCUCACCAUCUGCUGAAAACAUAGGACCCAAAGGGUUGAGAUGCACAAGAGACUUGAAUAAAGGACCCCAUUCAAUUGCUGCUUCUGAACAAUCAGGAGUGUGUCUUGUGAUAGCGUAAAAUGCCAACCACCCCAUAGACCUAUUUCCUUUAUUGCUUCAGUGAUAAAGCGGCUGAGCGGUUGUUACAGAUAAGGCAGUUUUGUGUGCACUGUGCAUACAGAAUAGACUUUACUGGGAACAGUAGAGAGAGCGAGCAGGAUUUGGUUGGGUGGGUGUCCAACAAGAGAGGACCUGAGGUCUUUGGCAAGUGCACCAUGAACUGGCUCAGCUACCUCCUCCUGCCUGCCCUCUACCACCUCUGCAGGGCUGAAUUCACACAGCCCUCUGACAAGGGGGUCGAAGAAGGGGCAGACGUGGAAUUACAAUGUCAACACGACAUUCCUGGUGGAAAUUAUGACUCCAUCUACUGGUACCUCCAGAAGGCCAAUAAGAAGCUCACGUAUAUCUAUCAUGGAUUUCAAGGCACCACAGAAAUUGGGCGUUACCAGAUAAAUGUGGAUCGGAAAAAAUGCUCCAGCAAAUUAAUCAUCAGAAAUGUGCAUCUAAGUGACAUAGCUGUAUAUUACUGUGCUUUACAAGGAAGGCACUGUGAUUCAUGCCACAUACAGCUCUGAGCAAAAACUACGUUUCAAGUGUGAUACAGAACAAAGAAAACCCACCAUCUCAGAGAAUGAACCAGCAUGACCCAAAGGGGGUCUAUGUUCUUUCAAAUUUUCCCUUUCAUUCAACCACCAUUUGAAGAAAUAAACAGCUGGUUAUGAAGAUGGUGUCA
Molecule: long non-coding RNA, 1334 nt
Filed under: Monodelphis domestica (gray short-tailed opossum)
Lineage: Eukaryota; Metazoa; Chordata; Mammalia; Didelphimorphia; Didelphidae
Description: lncRNA (ENSMODG00000049304.1)
Source: RNAcentral